RNAcentral lists this ribosomal RNA (931 nucleotides) under uncultured bacterium. RNAcentral's name for it is "bacterial SSU rRNA". It matches the Rfam family "Bacterial small subunit ribosomal RNA", at positions 54 to 975 of the family's 1533-position model. The record is from RNAcentral.
CAUGCAAGUCGAGGGGAAACGACAUCGAAAGCUUGCUUUUGAUGGGCGUCGACCGGCGCACGGGUGAGUAACGCGUAUCCAACCUGCCCACCACUUGGGGAUAACCUUGCGAAAGUAAGACUAAUACCCAAUGACGUCUCUAGAAGACAUCUGAAGGAGAUUAAAGAUUUAUCGGUGAUGGAUGGGGAUGCGUCUGAUUAGCUUGUUGGCGGGGUAACGGCCCACCAAGGCGACGAUCAGUAGGGGUUCUGAGAGGAAGGUCCCCCACAUUGGAACUGAGACACGGUCCAAACUCCUACGGGAGGCAGCAGUGAGGAAUAUUGGUCAAUGGACGAGAGUCUGAACCAGCCAAGUAGCGUGCAGGAUGACGGCCCUAUGGGUUGUAAACUGCUUUUAUAAGGGAAUAAAGUGAGUCUCGUGAGACUUUUUGCAUGUACCUUAUGAAUAAGGACCGGCUAAUUCCGUGCCAGCAGCCGCGGUAAUACGGAAGGUCCGGGCGUUAUCCGGAUUUAUUGGGUUUAAAGGGAGCGUAGGCCGGAGAUUAAGCGUGUUGUGAAAUGUAGACGCUCAACGUCCGCACUGCAGCGCGAACUGGUUUCCUUGAGUACGCACAAAGUGGGCGGAAUUCGUGGUGUAGCGGUGAAAUGCUUAGAUAUCACGAAGAACUCCGAUUGCGAAGGCAGCUCACUGGAGCGCAACUGACGCUGAAGCUCGAAAGUGCGGGUAUCGAACAGGAUUAGAUACCCUGGUAGUCCGCACGGUAAACGAUGGAUGCCCGCUGUUGGUCUGAAUAGGUCAGCGGCCAAGCGAAAGCAUUAAGCAUCCCACCUGGGGAGUACGCCGGCAACGGUGAAACUCAAAGGAAUUGACGGGGGCCCGCACAAGCGGAGGAACAUGUGGUUUAAUUCGAUGAUACGCGAGGAACCUUACC